RNAcentral lists this ribosomal RNA (366 nucleotides) under Gephyrocapsa sp. RNAcentral's name for it is "partial small subunit ribosomal RNA". It matches the Rfam family "Eukaryotic small subunit ribosomal RNA", at positions 582 to 975 of the family's 1831-position model. Lineage: Eukaryota; Haptophyta; Isochrysidales; Noelaerhabdaceae. The record is from RNAcentral.
AUUCCAGCUCCAAUAGCGUAUAUUAAAGUUGUUGCAGUUAAAACGCUCGUAGUCGGAUUUCGGGGCGGGCCGACCGGUCUGCCGAUGGGUAUGCACUGGCCGGCGCGUCCUUCCACCCGGAGACCGCGCCUACUCUUAACUGAGCGGGCGCGGGAGACGGGUCUUUUACUUUGAAAAAAUCAGAGUGUUUCAAGCAGGCAGUCGCUCUUGCAUGGAUUAGCAUGGGAUAAUGAAAUAGGACUCUGGUGCUAUUUUGUUGGUUUCGAACACCGGAGUAAUGAUUAACAGGGACAGUCAGGGGCACUCGUAUUCCGCCCAGCGGAAGACGAACCACUGCGAAAGCAUUUGCCAGGGAUGUUUUCAUCG